ACGAUCUGCCCCCUUAUCGGCUGCUGCUAGAACGUUCCUCGAAGAAAAUUGGUUGGGUGUGGUGUCUUUGACCACCCUAGUAAAAUUUUUAGACCAUGUUUGGAUUCACCCAACUAAAGUUUAGCUAAAGUUUGGUUAGGAUGAGCUAAAUGAUAGUUGAAGAGUUAUUUGUCUAUCCUACCCCUCUCUUCCACUUUAGAAACUUUUUUCGAGAAAGGUGGAGGGACAAUUUAGUUUUUAUCAAAGAAUCUUUAGCCAACUAAAUUUUAGCUGGGUCUUGUUUGGAUCCAUAGCAGUUAAAAUUAGCCAACUAAAAUUUAGCUGGUAGAUUCAAA
This 335-nucleotide long non-coding RNA is filed under the name Setaria italica (foxtail millet). RNAcentral describes it as "long non-coding RNA (SITA_LNC004153)". The record is from RNAcentral. Lineage: Eukaryota; Viridiplantae; Streptophyta; Magnoliopsida; Poales; Poaceae.